CUACGGGGCGCAGCAGUGAGGAAUAUUGCACAAUGGGGGGAGCCCUGAUGCAGCAACGCCGCGUGGAGGAUGACGCAUUUCGGUGUGUAAACUCCUUUUAUAUGUCAAGAAAAUGACGGUAGCAUAUGAAUAAGCACCGGCUAACUCCGUGCCAGCAGCCGCGGUAAUACGGAGGGUGCAAGCGUUACUCGGAAUCACUGGGCGUAAAGGACGCGUAGGCGGGUUGGAAAGUCAGGUGUGAAAUCCUACAGCUUAACUGUAGAGCUGCACUUGAAACUUCUAAUCUAGAGUAUGGGAGGGGGAGAUGGAAUUAGUGGUGUAGGGGUAAAAUCCGUAGAUAUCACUAGGAAUACCUAAAGCGAAGGCGAUCUCCUGGAACAUUACUGACGCUAAGGCGUGAAAGCGUGGGGAGCAAACAGGAUUAGAUACCCGGGUAGUC
Molecule: ribosomal RNA, 439 nt
Filed under: uncultured bacterium
Lineage: Bacteria
Description: partial 16S ribosomal RNA
Rfam family: Bacterial small subunit ribosomal RNA
Source: RNAcentral